RNAcentral lists this ribosomal RNA (445 nucleotides) under uncultured bacterium. RNAcentral's name for it is "partial 16S ribosomal RNA". It matches the Rfam family "Bacterial small subunit ribosomal RNA", at positions 354 to 796 of the family's 1533-position model. The record is from RNAcentral.
GUGAGGAAUAUUGCGCAAUGGAGGCAACUCUGACGCAGCCAUGCCGCGUGCAGGAAGAAGGCGCUACGCGUUGUAAACUGCUUUUAACCGGGAAGAAACCCCAGGACGUGUCCUGGGUUGACGGUACCGGAGGAAUAAGCACCGGCUAACUUCGUGCCAGCAGCCGCGGUAAUACGAAGGGUGCAAGCGUUAUCCGGAUUCAUUGGGUUUAAAGGGUGCGUAGGCGGAGCGUUAAGUCAGUGGUGAAAUACUGCAGCUUAACUGUAGACUUGCCAUUGAUACUGGCGCUCUUGAGUGCGCUUGAAGUGGGCGGAAUGUGCCGUGUAGCGGUGAAAUGCUUAGAUAUGGCACAGAACACCAAUUGCGAAGGCAGCUCACUAAGGCGAUACUGACGCUGAGGCACGAAAGCGUGGGGAUCGAACAGGAUUAGAUACCCCAGUAGUCC